UGAGUAACGCGUGAGAAUCUGCCCUCAGGGAGGGGGAUAACGGCUGGAAACGGCCGCUAAUACCCCAUAUGCCGAGAGGUGAAAUGAAUUUCGCCUGAGGAUGAGCUCGCGUCUGAUUAGCUUGUUGGUGGGUAAUGGCCUACCAAGGCGACGAUCAGUAGCUGGUCUGAGAGGAUGAUCAGCCACACGUGGGACUGGGACACGGCCCGACGACUCCUUACCGGGAGGGCGAGCAGUGGGGGAAUUUUUCCGCAAUGGGCGAAAGCCUGACGGAGCAACGCCGCGUGAGGGAUGAAGGCCUCUGGGCUGUAAACCUCUUUUAUCAAGGAAGAAGAUCUGACGGUACUUGAUGAAUAAGCCACGGCUAAUUCCGUG
Molecule: ribosomal RNA, 375 nt
Filed under: uncultured bacterium
Lineage: Bacteria
Description: bacterial SSU rRNA
Rfam family: Bacterial small subunit ribosomal RNA
Source: RNAcentral